RNAcentral lists this transfer RNA (63 nucleotides) under Trioza anthrisci. Its description in RNAcentral is "tRNA-Trp". The record is from RNAcentral. Lineage: Eukaryota; Metazoa; Arthropoda; Insecta; Hemiptera; Triozidae.
UAAAGUCUUAAGUUAAUUAAUAAACUAGUAGCCUUCAAAGUUAAAAAUGAUCAUUUAGAUUUU